RNAcentral lists this ribosomal RNA (491 nucleotides) under uncultured bacterium. Its description in RNAcentral is "partial 16S ribosomal RNA". It matches the Rfam family "Bacterial small subunit ribosomal RNA", at positions 29 to 506 of the family's 1533-position model. The record is from RNAcentral.
AGUGAACGCUGGCGGUAGGCCUAACACAUGCAAGUCGAACGGCAGCACAGUAAGAGCUUGCUCUUACGGGUGGCGAGUGGCGGACGGGUGAGGAAUACAUCGGAAUCUACUUUUUCGUGGGGGAUAACGUAGGGAAACUUACGCUAAUACCGCAUACGACCUACGGGUGAAAGCAGGGGAUCUUCGGACCUUGCGCGAUUGAAUGAGCCGAUGUCGGAUUAGCUAGUUGGCGGGGUAAAGGCCCACCAAGGCGACGAUCCGUAGCUGGUCUGAGAGGAUGAUCAGCCACACUGGAACUGAGACACGGUCCAGACUCCUACGGGAGGCAGCAGUGGGGAAUAUUGGACAAUGGGCGCAAGCCUGAUCCAGCCAUACCGCGUGGGUGAAGAAGGCCUUCGGGUUGUAAAGCCCUUUUGUUGGGAAAGAAAAGCAGCGGGUUAAUACCCCGCUGUUCUGACGGUACCCAAAGAAUAAGCACCGGCUAACUUCGU